AUGUACCACUUGUACACUGCGGUUCCCCAGCGCCGUGCGCACCUGCUUGGGGACUGCUCGCUACGUUUUAUUAGCC
This 76-nucleotide small RNA is filed under the name Xanthomonas fragariae. RNAcentral describes it as "sX9 sRNA". It matches the Rfam family "Xanthomonas sRNA sX9". Lineage: Bacteria; Pseudomonadati; Pseudomonadota; Gammaproteobacteria; Lysobacterales; Lysobacteraceae. The record is from RNAcentral.